RNAcentral lists this ribosomal RNA (755 nucleotides) under Limosilactobacillus fermentum. Its description in RNAcentral is "bacterial SSU rRNA". It matches the Rfam family "Bacterial small subunit ribosomal RNA", at positions 51 to 762 of the family's 1533-position model. Lineage: Bacteria; Bacillati; Bacillota; Bacilli; Lactobacillales; Lactobacillaceae. The record is from RNAcentral.
AUACAUGCAAGUCGAACGCGUUGGCCCAAUUGAUUGAUGGUGCUUGCACCUGAUUGAUUUUGGUCGCCAACGAGUGGCGGACGGGUGAGUAACACGUAGGUAACCUGCCCAGAAGCGGGGGACAACAUUUGGAAACAGAUGCUAAUACCGCAUAACAACGUUGUUCGCAUGAACAACGCUUAAAAGAUGGCUUCUCGCUAUCACUUCUGGAUGGACCUGCGGUGCAUUAGCUUGUUGGUGGGGUAACGGCCUACCAAGGCGAUGAUGCAUAGCCGAGUUGAGAGACUGAUCGGCCACAAUGGGACUGAGACACGGCCCAUACUCCUACGGGAGGCAGCAGUAGGGAAUCUUCCACAAUGGGCGCAAGCCUGAUGGAGCAACACCGCGUGAGUGAAGAAGGGUUUCGGCUCGUAAAGCUCUGUUGUUAAAGAAGAACACGUAUGAGAGUAACUGUUCAUACGUUGACGGUAUUUAACCAGAAAGUCACGGCUAACUACGUGCCAGCAGCCGCGGUAAUACGUAGGUGGCAAGCGUUAUCCGGAUUUAUUGGGCGUAAAGAGAGUGCAGGCGGUUUUCUAAGUCUGAUGUGAAAGCCUUCGGCUUAACCGGAGAAGUGCAUCGGAAACUGGAUAACUUGAGUGCAGAAGAGGGUAGUGGAACUCCAUGUGUAGCGGUGGAAUGCGUAGAUAUAUGGAAGAACACCAGUGGCGAAGGCGGCUACCUGGUCUGCAACUGACGCUGAGACUCGAAAGCAU